Thalassophryne amazonica is the source of this 330-nucleotide long non-coding RNA. RefSeq lists it as uncharacterized. The record is from RefSeq and is a predicted model, not a curated record. NCBI's taxonomy places the organism in Eukaryota, Metazoa, Chordata, Actinopteri, Batrachoidiformes, Batrachoididae. The transcript has 3 exons.
ACCACUCAUUUCUCAGCACAAAUCAAGGUUCAGGUGUUUGUUUGUGGGUGUGGUCACAUGAUCCAGGUGAGUGGGCGUGGCUCAGGUGUAUAAAGAGCAGCAGCUCAGUCUGGACUCAUCACUGAGACACCUGAGGACAUCAUCACUGAGACACACCUGCCUCCAUCUCCUCCACACAGGAACACAUCAUCAUGGUCACCAUGAUGACCGCCGCCUUCCUCUGCCUCCUCCUGGGUGCCGCCUUUGCAGCUCCUGCUGAAGAUAAAGACCUGAAGGUCACCGAAACACCAGCCGAGGCCCCGACCAAUCAGUCAUGUGAUGCAGCAGGUC